CUUGCAACCCCACGGGGUUGUUCUGAGGAUUAGCUGAAAUAGCAGAUGUAAAGUGCCUGUCACAUAGUAGACAUUCAAUGAAAAUGAAAUCACGCUACCAGGUGAGUAGGCUGGGUGUUAAUGUAGCCAUUUUGCAGAUUAAAAAACUGGGUCCCAGAAAGGAUAGACUAUGUGUUAACAAGGACACAGCUAGGAAGUAGGAGUGGCAAUGGCGGGAAAUGGCCUGCUAGCUCCAAUUCCAAUUAACUAGACUCACCGCUUCCCAAGACACACAGCUUCAAUCUGGUCUUACUCACCCACAAGCUAACAUUUCACAAGUACUGAGUCAGAGCUUCCCCUCCUCUUAGGCUGCAUGAGAAUCACAGCUCUCUCCACCCCGGGCUUGGCAGACCCCACCUUCUUCUGGGGCCCCUGGAGGGAAUGCACGAGGCCGAGGCCGAGGCUGCCAGGAACUGAGAAAGUAGGCGAGGCAGCUGCUCCCAUCCGUCGAGUGACCUGACCUGCGUGAGCUGGAGGGGUCCACGAUGCUGCCAAGGACCACAUCAGAAAGAUAAUAUUUGAAGAGUGAAAGGUUCUCCAAAGAAUGUAAAAUCCUUCAAGCAAGCAAGCGCCUGCAGUUCUUGAGCCAUGAUUCAUUCUGGACGGGCCAGAACGUGGGCUGUGGAUAGCGAGGAAAACAGGUCACAAGGAAGUGGAGAGGCAGAGCUGGGAAGGAUUUGGGAGAUUAUCAAUCCUUCAGCAAAGGAGAAAUUGUGAUUCAAAGCAGAAGACUUUUCCAAGACACAGCUAAAGGGACCUGGACCCAGAUUUCUCAGGCAUUCAUCCACCCAUUCUUUCACUCAGCAUUUACUGAGCGCUUGCUAUGGGCCUGGAGGGAGGUCAGGUUCUAAGAAUGCAGCAGUAAACAAAACAAGCAGGGCUUCUGUCUUCCCGAAGGUGACUUUCCAGAGAAGAGGAGAGACAAUUAAACACACAAUUACAGAAAAGAUGAGAAGAGCUGUGACCAGGGAGGUACAGAGUGCUAUGGGACCACGGAGGAGGGCAGCCACAUCCAAUCCAUGGGUCAUGAAAGGCCGCUGGAUUAAGUGAUGGUUCAGCUGAGACCCGAAGACUAAGGAGGGCUUAAUGAGGGAACAUCAUAAUCUGUCCUGCAUCUUGAGGGGAAGUAAGGAACCGGAGCAUGUGAACAGGACCAGGAUCAGACCACUUCCAGGAACCCAUGCAAGCUGUGCUGAUAAGUCACAACUCAAGAACUGGUGAUAAAUAAACUGGUGUUUACUCUGAGUAACAGUGAUCUGAUCUAAGCACUUGGAUUUUCAUGACAUUAACUAUUUCAGAGCAUCCCAAGAAUUACCAGUAACCCAGGAAAACCUUCUCCAUCCCAGGAGGAUCAGUGGUUGCAACACCCGGG
This 1411-nucleotide long non-coding RNA is filed under the name Equus caballus (horse). Its description in RNAcentral is "lncRNA (ENSECAG00000056526.1)". The record is from RNAcentral. Lineage: Eukaryota; Metazoa; Chordata; Mammalia; Perissodactyla; Equidae.